This 68-nucleotide transfer RNA is filed under the name Onthophagus bonasus. RNAcentral describes it as "tRNA-His". Lineage: Eukaryota; Metazoa; Arthropoda; Insecta; Coleoptera; Scarabaeidae. The record is from RNAcentral.
AUUUAAGUAGUUUAAUUUAAAAAUAUUGAUUUGUGAUAUCAAUGAUAUAUGUAAAAGUAUCUUAAGUA